GUCGAGCGAACAGAUAAGGAGCUUGCUCCUUUGACGUUAGCGGCGGACGGGUGAGUAACACGUGGGUAACCUACCUAUAAGACUGGGACAACUUCGGGAAACCGGAGCUAAUACCGGAUAAUAUGUUGAACCGCAUGGUUCAAUAGUGAAAGAUGGUUUUGCUAUCACUUAUAGAUGGACCCGCGCCGUAUUAGCUAGUUGGUGAGGUAACGGCUUACCAAGGCAACGAUACGUAGCCGACCUGAGAGGGUGAUCGGCCACACUGGAACUGAGACACGGUCCAGACUCCUACGGGAGGCAGCAGUAGGGAAUCUUCCGCAAUGGGCGAAAGCCUGACGGAGCAACGCCGCGUGAGUGAUGAAGGUCUUAGGAUCGUAAAACUCUGUUAUUAGGGAAGAACAAACGUGUAAGUAACUGUGCACGUCUUGACGGUACCUAAUCAGAAAGCCACGGCUAACUACGUGCCAGCAGCCGCGGUAAUACGUAGGUGGCAAGCGUUAUCCGGAAUUAUUGGGCGUAAAGCGCGCGUAGGCGGUUUUUUAAGUCUGAUGUGAAAGCCCACGGCUCAACCGUGGAGGGUCAUUGGAAACUGGAAAACUUGAGUGCAGAAGAGGAAAGUGGAAUUCCAUGUGUAGCGGUGAAAUGCGCAGAGAUAUGGAGGAACACCAGUGGCGAAGGCGACUUUCUGGUCUGUAACUGACGCUGAUGUGCGAAAGCGUGGGGAUCAAACAGGAUUA
Molecule: ribosomal RNA, 737 nt
Filed under: uncultured Staphylococcus sp.
Lineage: Bacteria; Bacillati; Bacillota; Bacilli; Caryophanales; Staphylococcaceae
Description: bacterial SSU rRNA
Rfam family: Bacterial small subunit ribosomal RNA
Source: RNAcentral